UCCCUGGAGGACUAGUGGUUAGGCCUCGGUACUCUCGCCGCCACAGCCCGGGUUCAGGUCCCGGCCAGGGAA
This is a non-coding RNA of Pangasius djambal, 72 nucleotides long. The record is from the annotation of a GenBank genome assembly. NCBI's taxonomy places the organism in Eukaryota, Metazoa, Chordata, Actinopteri, Siluriformes, Pangasiidae.